UAGGGAAUCUUCGGCAAUGGACGAAAGUCUGACCGAGCAACGCCGCGUGAGUGAAGAAGGUUUUCGGAUCGUAAAACUCUGUUGUUAGAGAAGAACAAGGACGUUAGUAACUGAACGUCCCCUGACGGUAUCUAACCAGAAAGCCACGGCUAACUACGUGCCAGCAGCCGCGGUAAUACGUAGGUGGCAAGCGUUGUCCGGAUUUAUUGGGCGUAAAGCGAGCGCAGGCGGUUUCUUAAGUCUGAUGUGAAAGCCCCCGGCUCAACCGGGGAGGGUCAUUUGAAACUUGGAGACUUGAGUGCAGAAGAGGAGAGUGGAAUUCCAUGUGGAGCGGUGAAAUGCGUAGAUAUAUGGAGGAACACCAGUGGCGAAGGCGGCUCUCUGGUCUGUAACUGACGCUGAGGCUCGAAAGCGUGGGGAGCAAACAGG
RNAcentral lists this ribosomal RNA (429 nucleotides) under Gemmatimonadota bacterium. RNAcentral describes it as "Gemmatimonadetes bacterium partial 16S ribosomal RNA". It matches the Rfam family "Bacterial small subunit ribosomal RNA", at positions 355 to 776 of the family's 1533-position model. The record is from RNAcentral. Lineage: Bacteria; Pseudomonadati; Gemmatimonadota.